Molecule: ribosomal RNA, 781 nt
Filed under: uncultured Scleroderma
Lineage: Eukaryota; Fungi; Basidiomycota; Agaricomycetes; Boletales; Sclerodermataceae
Description: eukaryotic LSU rRNA
Rfam family: 5.8S ribosomal RNA (bases 325-479)
Source: RNAcentral
UCUUGGUCAUUUAGAGGAAGUAAAAGUCGUAACAAGGUUUCCGUAGGUGAACCUGCGGAAGGAUCAUUAUCGAAACAGAACGCCCGGGGGGAAAGGGGGAGCCCGACGGCCCGAGACUGUCGCCGGCCUCGCGCGCGUGCACGUCCCUCGCCGUCGCUCUUUCCGACCCUUUGAGGCUUUCGACCUUCUCAACACCUGUGCACCCGCUGUAGGUCCUUCGGGACCUACGUCUUUCUUCGAACCCGCAUGUCUACAGAACGUAUUCGUCGCGUCCCGGCCUCGACCCUCAGGGUCCCGCGUCGGCGACCGCAAAACCUAUUAUACAACUUUCAGCAACGGAUCUCUUGGCUCUCGCAUCGAUGAAGAACGCAGCGAAUCGCGAUAAGUAAUGUGAAUUGCAGAUUUUCCGUGAAUCAUCGAAUCUUUGAACGCACCUUGCGCUCCUUGGUAUUCCGAGGAGCAUGCCUGUUUGAGUGUCAUCGAAACCUCAGACCGACCCUUCGACCCCGUCGGAGCUCGGUCUGGACUUGUGGGAGUCUGCGGGCGAAGCGUGACUUCGUCGGCUCUCCUCAAAAGCAUUAGCCGUGGGUGGCGAGCCUGGCAUGGCACGGCCUCCUCGACGUCGUAAUGAUCUCGUGGGCUGGAAGUGUACGGCUCGACGGACCCAUGCUUCGCAAGUCUUGCGAGCCCGUCCCUCGCGGACGGCCGCGCCCCAUCGAAGCUUGACCUCAAAUCAGGUAGGACUACCCGCUGAACUUAAGCAUAUCAAUAAAGCGGAGGA